This 518-nucleotide long non-coding RNA is filed under the name Homo sapiens (human). Its description in RNAcentral is "HSALNT0276750". The record is from RNAcentral. Lineage: Eukaryota; Metazoa; Chordata; Mammalia; Primates; Hominidae.
GUCUGUCUCUGUGUCCCAUUUCCCCUUUCAUCAGCUUUGCAUUGUGAUUUUCAUUUGAAUUCUUUUUUUUUCUCUUACUCUUUCUUCUUCUUCUUUUUUUUAAGAAACGAUCUUGCUCAGGUGUGCACCAUCACAACCAGCUAAUUUUUAAAUUUUUUGUAGAGAUAGGGGUCUUGCUAUCUUGCCCAGGCUGGUCUUGAACUCCUGGUCUCAAGUAAUCAUCCUGCCAUGGCCUGCCAAAGUGCUGGGAUCAUAAGUGUGAGCCACCACACGUAAGCACAUUGCUUUUCUUUUGAGUGAAGCCUUUUCAUUCUGAGUUAGUCGUCUGUUCACAAAUUUUAUUCAUUUAUUAAGUCAUUGAUCAAAUGUUAUUGAUUUGUAAAAGCUCUUUAUAUGUGGAGAAAAUUAGCCUUUUUAUCUAAUUUAGACAUUGCAAAAAUUUCCACAAUUAAUCAUAUUACAGUUGGCAUUUGAACAAUAUGGGGAUUAAGGCACUGAUCCCCCUCAUGCACACUCAA